UCUGAGCGAUCGAGAAAGGCAAAGAGUGUUGUGAGGGUUUGGGGAAAACCUCUCCACUAUUUAUAGGCCUUGGGAAAAUUGCAAAAAAACCCCAGAGAACCCAAAAUUUACGAAAUUUGAGAUCAAGAUUCGAUCUCCAAAUCCCCCUAAUCACGCCAAGUCGCCGACUCCGGGCAAAGACUCACGGCAAUGUGAGAUACUUUC
RNAcentral lists this long non-coding RNA (204 nucleotides) under Zostera marina. RNAcentral describes it as "long non-coding RNA (ZMAR_LNC002715)". The record is from RNAcentral. Lineage: Eukaryota; Viridiplantae; Streptophyta; Magnoliopsida; Alismatales; Zosteraceae.